RNAcentral lists this ribosomal RNA (791 nucleotides) under uncultured Alteromonas sp. Its description in RNAcentral is "bacterial SSU rRNA". It matches the Rfam family "Bacterial small subunit ribosomal RNA", at positions 56 to 845 of the family's 1533-position model. Lineage: Bacteria; Pseudomonadati; Pseudomonadota; Gammaproteobacteria; Alteromonadales; Alteromonadaceae. The record is from RNAcentral.
UGCAGUCGAACGGUAGCAGGAAGUGCUUGCACUUCGCUGACGAGUGGCGGACGGGUGAGUAAUGCUUGGGAACUUGCCUUUAGGUGGGGGAUAACAGUUGGAAACGACUGCUAAUACCGCAUAAUGUCUACGGACCAAAGGGGGCUUCGGCUCCCACCUUGAGAGAGGCCCAAGUGAGAUUAGCUAGUUGGUGGGGUAAAGGCCUACCAAGGCAACGAUCUCUAGCUGUUCUGAGAGGAAGAUCAGCCACACUGGGACUGAGACACGGCCCAGACUCCUACGGGAGGCAGCAGUGGGGAAUAUUGCACAAUGGGGGAAACCCUGAUGCAGCCAUGCCGCGUGUGUGAAGAAGGCCUUCGGGUUGUAAAGCACUUUCAGUUGUGAGGAAAGGUUGGUAGUUAAUACCUACCAGCUGUGACGUUAACAACAGAAGAAGCACCGGCUAACUCCGUGCCAGCAGCCGCGGUAAUACGGAGGGUGCGAGCGUUAAUCGGAAUUACUGGGCGUAAAGCGCACGCAGGCGGCUUGUUAAGCUAGAGGUGAAAGCCCCGCGCUCAACGUGGGAACUGCCUUUAGAACUGGCAGGCUAGAGUCUUGGAGAGGGGAGUGGAAUUCCAGGUGUAGCGGUGAAAUGCGUAGAUAUCUGGAGGAACAUCAGUGGCGAAGGCGGCUCCCUGGCCAAAGACUGACGCUCAUGUGCGAAAGUGUGGGUAGCGAACAGGAUUAGAUACCCUGGUAGUCCACACCGUAAACGCUGUCUACUAGCUGUUUGUGUAUUUAAUACGUGAGUA